This 285-nucleotide ribosomal RNA is filed under the name Triticum aestivum (bread wheat). RNAcentral's name for it is "partial small subunit ribosomal RNA". Lineage: Eukaryota; Viridiplantae; Streptophyta; Magnoliopsida; Poales; Poaceae. The record is from RNAcentral.
AUGAGGCAAUAUUGGUGGGGGGUGGAAAACGGCAAAAGGAAGAUGGCCUGGCUAAGUUGGGAGAGGAUGAUGUUACCCAAAGCAAUGGGGGGCAUGGGAUUCCGAGACAUGAGGGCUUUUAAUCAAGCUCUGCUUGCCAAGCAGGCUUGGCGCCUAUUGGAUAGCCCAGAGAGCCUAUGUGCGAGAUUAUUGAAGGCUAAAUACUACCCGAGGGGAAAUUUGCUUGACACUGUUUUCUCGUCUAAUAGUUCGGCGGUCUGGAAGGGUAUUGUUCAUGGACUUGAU